This 481-nucleotide ribosomal RNA is filed under the name uncultured bacterium. Its description in RNAcentral is "bacterial SSU rRNA". It matches the Rfam family "Bacterial small subunit ribosomal RNA", at positions 501 to 984 of the family's 1533-position model. The record is from RNAcentral.
CUACGUGCCAGCAGCCGCGGUAAUACGGAAGGUCCUGGCGUUAUCCGGAUUUAUUGGGUUUAAAGGGAGCGCAGGCUGCACUUUAAGCGUGUUGUGAAAUGUACCGGCUCAACCGGUAACGUGCAGCGCGAACUGGGGUGCUUGAGUACGAAGAGGGAAGGCGGAACUCGUGGUGUAGCGGUGAAAUGCUUAGAUAUCACGAGGAACUCCGAUCGCGAAGGCAGCUUUCCGUUUCGGAACUGACGCUGAGGCUCGAAAGUGCGGGUAUCGAACAGGAUUAGAUACCCUGGUAGUCCGCACGGUAAACGAUGGAUGCUCGCUGUUGGAUAUUUUUAUUCAGUGGCUAAGUGAAAACGUUAAGCAUCCCACCUGGGGAGUACGCCGGCAACGGUGAAACUCAAAGGAAUUGACGGGGGCCCGCACAAGCGGAGGAACAUGUGGUUUAAUUCGAUGAUACGCGAGGAACCUUACCCGGGCUUGA